Molecule: long non-coding RNA, 205 nt
Filed under: Hordeum vulgare
Lineage: Eukaryota; Viridiplantae; Streptophyta; Magnoliopsida; Poales; Poaceae
Description: long non-coding RNA (HVUL_LNC012820)
Source: RNAcentral
UCACAAGGCAAGCACAAUGAAAUUACAUCCAUAUGGAACUUGAUUAGGCUUAUUCAAGACGCAACCGGGCAUAGUGCUUUCUGUUCAUUAUUCUUGCUGCCAGCUAGAGCAAAUGGAUAGGGAGUUCCAGAUCCUACAAUUUUAGCUAUGCAAUCAUCAUCAAUAUUAUGUGAGCCUAGCCUAGCCUAACCUAGCUUGAGCUUCU